Molecule: long non-coding RNA, 1264 nt
Filed under: Gossypium barbadense (sea-island cotton)
Lineage: Eukaryota; Viridiplantae; Streptophyta; Magnoliopsida; Malvales; Malvaceae
Description: long non-coding RNA (GBAR_LNC010144)
Source: RNAcentral
UUCGGAAUAACAAAAUAAUAAAAUAAUAAGAGUUAAUAAAUACAAUAUUGGGCUCAUAUAUAAAAAAAUUAAACCUAAAACCCGAACCCAACAUGAUUUAAACUCGAAUUAAAAUCCCAAAACUCGUAAUUUUCGUAAUAAUCUCGUCUAGAAAUUCUACUUGCGCAAUCUACACUAAAACGAUCAUAACUUGAGUUCCCAAACUCGAACUUGAGUGAUUAAAAGUGUAACGCCCGAAUUUUGGGCCUGGAAGUUUUGGGAUCCAGUUAGGGUCACAAGAAGGGCCGCACAUAUGUGUUUAGUUGUGCAAUUUAGUAUCAGAAUGGGCCUGUUGGUCUGGUGGAUAAGAGGAGUGUUAGUUAACCUUGAGGUUUGAGGUUUGAGUCUUUGGGUGCACGAGUUAUUUUAUUUUUUAUUUUUGAUUUUUUUAGUUAAAUAUUUAUUCAUUUAUUUUUUUAUGUCUAUUGUUAUUUUGAGGUUUAUCUUUAUUUUUAUUUUGGGGGAUUGGUAUUUUGUUUUCUCUUCUCUUUUAAACGUUUAGGGUUCUCUUUUCUUCUUCUUCGGUUUCUACCUUUCUGCUAUUUUCUAAAUAUACUCAAAUUCGGUUUGGCUUGUGGACUUUGGGAAUUUCACUCCUCUGUCGUCUUCUUCGUCAUCGAAACAAGUGUGGGAUUCGAACUGUCAAAACCAUUUUUUUUGGAUCGAAAAAAACGAGAAUCGACUUUUAAAACUAAAUGUGGAGUCACCACCAAUCUUUUUGUUUAGGUGUGAUUGGAUCACCUAAUAAAACAUUUUGUUUCAUUUAAAUCAAUUUUGGUCUAUGUAAAUUUAAAAAUGGGUUCGGGAGCCGGUUACGUAUGAGGAAGGGUUAGCACCCUCAUUACGCCCAAAAACUGGUACCAGAUUGAUUAAUUGUUGUCCUUAUGUCUAGGUUUUUUUCAAAAAAUUUGAAACAUGGUUCUUUUUAAAACAUUAGAGUGGUUUAAGCUGGUCGUCAAAACUUUCUCGUUUCAAAGGUAUAAAGCAUCACGUCCAGCAUGAUAUGACAUGAUCCUUUAUACUUUUGAGAACACAAUCGAGUUUUGACUUCCAAAAGCUCUUAGGUCAAAAAUUACAAAAGAGUGUCCAAAUAUUUAGUCCAACGAAAAAUCGAAACCUAGCACGGUAGGGCACGAUUUCUCGAAUUUCUAAAUACUGAACAUUGCCUUAUUUUAGGAUUUUUUAAAAAGAUUUGUAAACUCAAAACAUAUUAAUUUUAUUUGAA